RNAcentral lists this ribosomal RNA (484 nucleotides) under uncultured bacterium. RNAcentral describes it as "partial 16S ribosomal RNA". It matches the Rfam family "Bacterial small subunit ribosomal RNA", at positions 30 to 507 of the family's 1533-position model. The record is from RNAcentral.
AUUGAACGCUGGCGGCAGGCCUAACACAUGCAAGUCGAGCGGGUGAAGGGAGCUUGCUCCUGGAUUCAGCGGCGGACGGGUGAGUAAUGCCUAGGAAUCUGCCUGGUAGUAGGGGAUAACGUCCGGAAACGGGCGCUAAUACCGCAUACGUCCUGAGGGAGAAAGUGGGGGAUCUUCGGACCUCACGCUAUCAGAUGAGCCUAGGUCGGAUUAGCUAGUUGGUGGGGUAAAGGCCUACCAAGGCGACGAUCCGUAACUGGUCUGAGAGGAUGAUCAGUCACACUGGAACUGAGACACGGUCCAGACUCCUACGGGAGGCAGCAGUGGGGAAUAUUGGACAAUGGGCGAAAGCCUGAUCCAGCCAUGCCGCGUGUGUGAAGAAGGUCUUCGGAUUGUAAAGCACUUUAAGUUGGGAGGAAGGGCAGUAAGUUAAUACCUUGCUGUUUUGACGUUACCAACAGAAUAAGCACCGGCUAACUUCGUG